This 332-nucleotide unclassified non-coding RNA is filed under the name soil metagenome. Its description in RNAcentral is "partial contains 5.8S ribosomal RNA, internal transcribed spacer 2, and large subunit ribosomal RNA". The stretch from base 1 to 120 matches the Rfam family "5.8S ribosomal RNA", at positions 35 to 154 of the family's 154-position model. The record is from RNAcentral.
GAUGAAGAACGCAGCGAAAUGCGAUAAGUAGUGUGAAUUGCAGAAUUCAGUGAAUCAUCGAAUCUUUGAACGCUCAUUGCGUCCUUUGGUAUUCCUUAGGGCAUGCCUGUUCGAGCGUCAUUUAAACCUUCAAGCUAAGCUUGGUGUUGGGUGACUGUCCGCUUCACGGCGGACUCGCCUCAAAAUUAUUGGCGGCCGGUACAUUGGCUUCGAGCGCAGCAGAAACGCGAACUCGGGCCCGUCGUAUUGGCUCCCAGAAGCUAUCUUCACAAUUUUGACCUCGGAUCAGGUAGGGAUACCCGCUGAACUUAAGCAUAUCAAUAAGCGGAGGA